Molecule: ribosomal RNA, 424 nt
Filed under: Verrucomicrobiota bacterium
Lineage: Bacteria; Pseudomonadati; Verrucomicrobiota
Description: Verrucomicrobia bacterium partial 16S ribosomal RNA
Rfam family: Bacterial small subunit ribosomal RNA
Source: RNAcentral
UGAGGAAUAUUGGUUAAUGGGCGAGAGCCUGAACCAGCCAAGUAGCGUGCAGGAUGACGGCCCUAUGGGUUGUAAACUGCUUUUAUAUGGGAAUAAAGUGAGGGACGUGUCCCUUAUUGCAUGUACCAUACGAAUAAGGACCGGCUAAUUCCGUGCCAGCAGCCGCGGUAAUACGGAAGGUCCAGGCGUUAUCCGGAUUUAUUGGGUUUAAAGGGAGCGUAGGCUGUUUGUUAAGCGUGUUGUGAAAUGUAGGAGCUCAACUUUUAGAUUGCAGCGCGAACUGGCGGAAUUGAGUGCGCACAACGUAGGCGGAAUUCAUGGUGUAGCGGUGAAAUGCUUAGAUAUCAUGAAGAACUCCGAUUGCGAAGGCAGCUUACGGGAGCGCAACUGACGCUGAAGCUCGAAGAUGCGGGUAUCGAACAGG